This is a long non-coding RNA of Parus major (Great Tit), 388 nucleotides long. RefSeq lists it as uncharacterized. The record is from RefSeq and is a predicted model, not a curated record. NCBI's taxonomy places the organism in Eukaryota, Metazoa, Chordata, Aves, Passeriformes, Paridae. The transcript has 4 exons.
GUCAUUUAUGUGUUUGUCUUCACUAAUGUUUGCAACAUCUCCAAACAUAGUAUCCUCUGUGAAUUUAACUAACCUGCUGUUUACCCUUUCUUCCAGAUCCAGUUUCUGAUCCUACUUCCACAUUUGGGAGUAUGCAAGGGACAAACACAUCUCUUUGCGUAGCUUGACUGGAUAUCCCAAGACUAGGAUGUCAGGUUGGUCGGUCCUUUCCCUCUGUUCCUGCCACUUCCUGAAGCCUGAAUUGGCUUUUUUUGGAGGCAGUGCUACUUCUCUGCCUGACAAGGGUUUGAAAGUAUUCUAGAAGGCCUGUUUGGACCUGGAUUAUUAAAAGAUCUCAGUUUGUUUAAAGACUGUGAGCCUGAAGGUGUUUCUGAUUGGUCUUUUGAUG